Molecule: long non-coding RNA, 689 nt
Filed under: Felis catus (domestic cat)
Lineage: Eukaryota; Metazoa; Chordata; Mammalia; Carnivora; Felidae
Description: lncRNA (ENSFCAG00000040743.2)
Source: RNAcentral
GUGAGACUGGGAUUAGUUUUCUCAUUUUGACAUUGAGGAAACAGGAUGAGAGAAGUUAGGAAGUUUACUUUAGGUCAGUCAGGGAAUAAGUAGAAAAAUCACAGACUCAAAACAUGUUGCGCUGACUAUAUUGGCAGGAGGGGUCCAGGGAUGUGCGAAAUCAGUGCAGGCAGCAGGCAUCAGAGAAGCUUCCUGGAGAACUGCGAACAAACCUCUUUUCUCCUUUUCACUAUUUCACAGCCUGUAGAGAAACCGUGAUCUGGUGUCCGGAAGGCAUCCAUCCUUCAAAUUACUUGAACAAUUACAGACAUGUGUGGAAAUUUAUUUUUGAUCUGUUUCUCAACCAUGCUCAUACAGUGAAAAAAAAAUGAUUUCUACAGACGUUAAGAGCUAUCUUGAAGCUUAAUGGACAAAUGUUCAUCUAUUCCAUGUGGGUAAUUCUUUCUAGACUGGUCAUGGAAUGACCAGCUUUGUGCUGGAAUGUGUGUUAAACUUAACAUGGUAUGCUGAUUUCAAAACAACUGUCAGAUUUUUCUUUUGUUUAGAGAUAUACUUCAUGGAAAUGUUGCCGUUAGCUUGAAAUUCUCACUCAGGUCUCUUAAAAAAGCCUGCCCAUAAACUUAAAAAAUCCUAACCCACCUCAGGUGUCACUAAAUAAAAAUACAUUUGUCACAUUUACCUAUGUGUGU